UGUCUUUGGUCAUUGAUGUAAAAGCACGUUUGGUCAACUUGAGAAGUGAAGGUUAUGAGCCAUUACUUGAUGAAGCCAAAGAAUUUUGCUGUGAGAAUGAUAUCCCAAUACCAAAUAUGGAAGAUAAUGUACCAAGAUUUGGUCGAUCAAGAAAAGGAGGGUGAAACAAUAUCACUCAAGAUCAUUACUUCCGUGUUGAUACCUUCUAUGCUACAAUAGAUGCUAUUACAACAGAGUUUGAUCAUCGAUUCAAUGAGGUAUCUUCGGAAUUGCUUACUUGCUUUGCAUGUCUUGAUCCAAGGGAAUCGUUUUCUAAGUUUGAUGUGAAUAAGCUUGCUCGCCUCAUGGAGAUAUAUUUAGAUGACUUCUCUUUUGAUGAUCGAAAAAAAUAAAAGAUCAAUUACAGACCUUUCUUAUCCAUGUAAGGAGAAUUGAGGAGUUCAGAGUUUGUCAAGAUUUUGCAAUCCUAGCACUAAAAAUGGUUGAGCUCAACAGACAUACGAUGUUCCCAUUGGUUUAUCGUCUAAUUGAGUUGGCAUUGCUACUACCAGUAGCGACCGUAUCGGUUGAAAGGGCUUUUUCAGCCAUGAAGAUAAUUAAAACUGAGUUGUGGAACAAGAUAUUUGAUGGUUGGCUUAAUGACUUAAUGGUUGUGUAUAUUGAGAGGGAGAUAUUUAAAGGAAUUGAUCUUCAAUCUAUCAAAAAGACAUUUCAAGUGAAGAAAGAUAGGAAUAUGAAAUUGCCGAAGCAUCCUAAACGCAACCGGACUGAACACAACUAAUAAAUUUAUCGCUUAUUUUGGUCCCGUUGUUGAUUUAAUGUGUAAUCUACAUGUUUUUCUUCAUUUAAAGUACUUCUAAACGAUGGUCUUGUUGUGAAUUUUUAUUUUCGUACAAUAUAUGAAUGUAGUCUAGAAAUGCAAUGCCACACCUAA
Panicum virgatum (switchgrass) is the source of this 934-nucleotide long non-coding RNA. RefSeq lists it as uncharacterized. The record is from RefSeq and is a predicted model, not a curated record. The transcript has 2 exons. Lineage: Eukaryota; Viridiplantae; Streptophyta; Magnoliopsida; Poales; Poaceae.